RNAcentral lists this ribosomal RNA (253 nucleotides) under uncultured bacterium. RNAcentral's name for it is "partial 16S ribosomal RNA". It matches the Rfam family "Bacterial small subunit ribosomal RNA", at positions 524 to 776 of the family's 1533-position model. The record is from RNAcentral.
UACGUAGGGUGCAAGCGUUGUCCGGAAUUAUUGGGCGUAAAGAGCUCGUAGGCGGUCUGUCGCGUCGGCUGUGAAAACCCGGGGCUCAACCCCGGGCCUGCAGUCGAUACGGGCAGACUAGAAUUCGGUAGGGGAGACUGGAAUUCCUGGUGUAGCGGUGAAAUGCGCAGAUAUCAGGAGGAACACCGGUGGCGAAGGCGGGUCUCUGGGCCGAUAUUGACGCUGAGGAGCGAAAGCGUGGGGAGCGAACAGG